This 253-nucleotide ribosomal RNA is filed under the name uncultured bacterium. RNAcentral describes it as "partial 16S ribosomal RNA". It matches the Rfam family "Bacterial small subunit ribosomal RNA", at positions 524 to 776 of the family's 1533-position model. The record is from RNAcentral.
UACGUAGGGUGCAAGCGUUAAUCGGACUUACUGGGCGUAAAGCGUGCGCAGGCGGUGAUGUAAGACAGGUGUGAAAUCCCCGGGCUUAACCUGGGAACUGCAUUUGUGACUGCAUCGCUGGAGUGCGGCAGAGGAGACUGGAAUUCCUGGUGUAGCAGUGAAAUGCGUAGAUAUCAGGAGGAACACCGAUGGCGAAGGCAGGUCUCUGGGCUGACACUGACGCUCAUGCACGAAAGCGUGGGGAGCAAACAGG